RNAcentral lists this long non-coding RNA (962 nucleotides) under Cricetulus griseus (Chinese hamster). Its description in RNAcentral is "lncRNA (ENSCGRG00000026085.1)". The record is from RNAcentral. Lineage: Eukaryota; Metazoa; Chordata; Mammalia; Rodentia; Cricetidae.
UGUCAUUCUUUCCCAGAAGUUGGUCACAAACCCAGGCUGGUCCAACAAGACAUUCUCUCUCAAGACCCCAAUCUUGAGUACAGUGGCUACAUUGUGGAAACUGCACCACAUAUCCACUCCAGGAAACAGGGUCAAGAGAAAAGGAUUGGGUCCAUGCUGCCUUCACACCAGAUCUAUCCUGGUUCCUGCUCUUGGCCCUCUAAAGUGACCUCAUCUUCCUAUUCAUUAUGCAAAUUUUUGACAUCCCUCCAGUGUAGAAGCUUCAUGUAUAAGGUUAACAAACGGUUUCUGCCUUACAAAGAAUCAUGGCCCAAACUCAAGUCCACUUGUGAAGAUGUUUUGGAGUUCCAUGCUGCCUCUGCUUCAGCAUCAUUGAACAUUGUGAAGGUUGAUUCAUUCUAAAUUAAGAAUUCAUUUGGAAAUGGAAAAAGACAAAGAAAACUGUGUCUACUGCGAUGCCUAAGAACAAUCUGGACACUGGUAGGAAAGAGCUGUGCUAUCUGACUUUUGUGUUUAAUUCAUUCUAGUGUGCAUGAAGCAGGAGGCCACCAGUACCUUCCUUUCCAUGUAUGUUGGAUUCCUGAUGCUGUUCUAAUAAAUCACUCCAAUUUCAGUGACAUUAAAAACAACAUGAAUUCAGGCUGAGGAGAUGGCUCCGCAGACAGAAGCAACUAUCACCAACCAGUGUUGUGGCAUAUUAGUUAAAGAUGUAUUACAUUCUUUUAUGUCUUCAUCCAGCAGCUGGUGGAAGUAGAAGCAGACACCCACAGCUAAACCUUGGACUGAACUGAAAUCCAGAUGCAGAGAAUGAGGGCUGAUGAGCAAAGGGGUCCAUUCCAGGCUGGUGAAACCCACAGAAACAGCUGAUCUGAAUAAGGGAAAACUCUUGCUCCCCAAACUGAUAGCUGGGAAACCAGCAUGGGACUGAUCCAGACCCCCUGAAUGUGGAUGUCAGUGAGGAG